Molecule: transfer RNA, 66 nt
Filed under: Sphaeridium lunatum
Lineage: Eukaryota; Metazoa; Arthropoda; Insecta; Coleoptera; Hydrophilidae
Description: tRNA-Ile
Source: RNAcentral
AAUGAGGUGCCUGACAAAAGGAUUAUUUUGAUAGAAUAAAUUAUGUAUAUUACCAUACUCUCAUUA